RNAcentral lists this unclassified non-coding RNA (251 nucleotides) under plant metagenome. RNAcentral's name for it is "partial contains small subunit ribosomal RNA, internal transcribed spacer 1, and 5.8S ribosomal RNA". The stretch from base 1 to 54 matches the Rfam family "Eukaryotic small subunit ribosomal RNA", at positions 1778 to 1831 of the family's 1831-position model. The record is from RNAcentral.
GGAAGUAAAAGUCGUAACAGGGUCUCCGUAGGUGAACCUGCGGAGGGAUCAUUACAGAGUUCAUGCCCUACCGGGUAGAUCUCCCACCCUAUGUUAUUAUUACUUUGUUGCUUUGGCGGGCCGUUAGGCUCCGGCCCGACUACCGGCCCCGGCUGGUAAGCGCCCGCCAGAGGACCCAAAACCCUGAAUAUUAGUGUCGUCUGAGUACUAUAUAAUAGUUAAAACUUUCAACAACGGAUCUCUUGGUUCUG